AUUGAACGCUGGCGGCAUGCUUUACACAUGCAAGUCGAACGGCAGCGGGGGCUUCGGCCUGCCGGCGAGUGGCGAACGGGUGAGUAAUGCAUCGGAACGUGCCCAUGUUGUGGGGGAUAACUACGCGAAAGCGUAGCUAAUACCGCAUAAGCCCUGAGGGGGGAAAGCGGGGGAUUCUUCGGAACCUCGUGCGAUUGGAGCGGCCGAUGUCGGAUUAGCUAGUAGGUGAGGUAAAGGCUCACCUAGGCGACGAUCCGUAGCGGGUCUGAGAGGAUGAUCCGCCACACUGGGACUGAGACACGGCCCAGACUCCUACGGGAGGCAGCAGUGGGGAAUUUUGGACAAUGGGCGCAAGCCUGAUCCAGCCAUGCCGCGUGAGUGAAGAAGGCC
This 390-nucleotide ribosomal RNA is filed under the name uncultured bacterium. RNAcentral's name for it is "bacterial SSU rRNA". It matches the Rfam family "Bacterial small subunit ribosomal RNA", at positions 28 to 416 of the family's 1533-position model. The record is from RNAcentral.